AACGAACGCUGGCGGCAGGCCUAACACAUGCAAGUCGAACGAAGUCUUCGGACUUAGUGGCGCACGGGUGAGUAACACGUGGGAAUAUACCUUACGCUGGGGGAUAACAUCGGGAAACUGAUGCUGAUACCGCAUACGCCCUUCGGGGGAAAGAUUUAUCGGCGAAAGAUUAGCCCGCGUCCGAUUAGCUAGUUGGUGAGGUAAUGGCUCACCAAGGCUCCGAUCGGUAGCUGGUCUGAGAGGAUGACCAGCCACACUGGGACUGAGACACGGCCCAGACUCCUACGGGAGGCAGCAGUGGGGAAUAUUGGACAAUGGGCGCAAGCCUGAUCCAGCCAUGCCGCGUGAGUGAUGAAGGCCUUAGGGUUGUAAAGCUCUUUCACCCACGACGAUGAUGACGGUAGUGGGAGAAGAAGCCCCGGCUAACUUCGUG
This 433-nucleotide ribosomal RNA is filed under the name uncultured bacterium. RNAcentral describes it as "partial 16S ribosomal RNA". It matches the Rfam family "Bacterial small subunit ribosomal RNA", at positions 29 to 507 of the family's 1533-position model. The record is from RNAcentral.